AGAGUUUGAUCCUGGCUCAGGACGAACGCUGGCGGCGUGCUUAACACAUGCAAGUCGAACGAUGAAGCUCUUCGGAGUGGAUUAGUGGCGAACGGGUGAGUAACACGUGGGAAAUCUGCCCUGCACUCUGGGACAAGCCUUGGAAACGAGGUCUAAUACCGGAUAUGACCUUCCUCUGCAUGGGGGUUGGUGGAAAGCUCCGGCGGUGCAGGAUGGUCCCGCGGCCUAUCAGCUUGUUGGUGGGGUAAUGGCCUACCAAGGCGACGACGGGUAGCCGGCCUGAGAGGGCGACCGGCCACACUGGGACUGAGACACGGCCCAGACUCCUACGGGAGGCAGCAGUGGGGAAUAUUGCACAAUGGGCGAAAGCCUGAUGCAGCGACGCCGCGUGAGGGAUGACGGCCUUCGGGUUGUAAACCUCUUUCAGCAGGGAAGAAGCGCAAGUGACGGUACCUGCAGAAGAAGCACCGGCUAACUACGUGCCAGCAGCCGCGGUAAUACGUAGGGUGCGAGCGUUGUCCGGAAUUAUUGGGCGUAAAGAGCUCGUAGGCGGCUUGUCGCGUCGAGUGUGAAAGCCCGGGGCUUAACCCCGGGUCUGCAUUCGAUACGGGCAGGCUUGAGUGUGGUAGGGGAGAUCGGAAUUCCUGGUGUAGCGGUGAAAUGCGCAGAUAUCAGGAGGAACACCGGUGGCGAAGGCGGAUCUCUGGGCCAUUACUGACGCUGAGGAGCGAAAGCGUGGGGAGCGAACAGGAUUAGAUACCCUGGUAGUCCACGCCGUAAACGGUGGGAACUAGGUGUUGGCGACAUUCCACGUCGUCGGUGCCGCAGCUAACGCAUUAAGUUCCCCGCCUGGGGAGUACGGCCGCAAGGCUAAAACUCAAAGGAAUUGACGG
This 893-nucleotide ribosomal RNA is filed under the name uncultured bacterium. RNAcentral describes it as "bacterial SSU rRNA". It matches the Rfam family "Bacterial small subunit ribosomal RNA", at positions 8 to 916 of the family's 1533-position model. The record is from RNAcentral.